GCCGCUGCCACGCUGGCUCUCCCACACUCACUCCCGCCCUCCAGCUGCUAUAGCUAAAAUCUGGAGCCACGGAGUUCACUUUUCUAUAGAAGACAAAGCUGAGCAUGCUCAGUGGCCAAGGCAAAGUUUGGUCGGAAACUAGUUUUUGCAUUAGACUCUCCAUGGGCUCCAUAGACUCUCCUGUACCUUACGACUAGGCACAGGAGCGUUUCCCCGGUGAAAUGGAGAAGAGGACACUUGGUCUUUUCAACUUUACUAGGAGGGCUCCUUUCUUCCCAGUCCGUAAGGAGGGGUCUGACUUUCAUUUCCACCCCAGCAUUAUCACCUUAACUCUCAUUCCAGUCAAUCCCGAAACUCCGUUGCCCUACCCACUUCACCCUUCUUUUGUUUGUCCUGAUUUGAUUCCUGCGUUCUCACAGAGGGCUACCUGGACUUUGAACCUCCACCCCCCUUUCUACAUUCUUGCAUUCCAGAAACAUAUGAAGCUCAUUUCUGCCACCCUUCCUAGAAAACUGGUUCCUGACAGAGACAUGUGGAAAGGUAAGUAAACCUGGGCCCAAGAUCACAGAGCACACAGCUGGAAUUCACAGCAAGACCUGAUUGACUUCGAAGUCAGUGGUCUUUCCCCUGCUUCCCACGAGACAGGUUACUACAUGAAGAGCUGGGACUGGAAUACAGGUUUUCUAUGUUCACCUGGGGAUAGCUUUUCCAUCAUCCCUCCUGAGUCUGUGAGGUAUCCCAGUUUUUAAGCCAGAACUUUGAAACCAGAAGUAAAUGGUUAAGUUUAUCUGUCUAUGCCUAUGUGUAUUCUAGCCAAAUAAACCAUGACACUUAAAACAAUUUCAAUAUUUCAAAGAUGUAGUAAAUUUCCUUGAACCUUUUUUAUUGUUUUUUAUAAAUUAAAAAUUAUGAAAUAAUUCAAACAUUUUUAAAAUAGGAAAUAACGUGAUAUGCAUGUACCCCAUACCCAGAUUUAAUAGAUGUUUACAUUAUGCAGUAUCUGUUUCUUUUUUUUUUUUUUUUCUUGAGACAGAGUCUUGCUCUGUCACCCAGGCUGGAGUGCAGUGGCAUAAUCUCGGCUCACUGCAACCUCCGCCUCCCGGGUUCAAGCGAUUCUCCUGCCUCAGCCUCCUGAGUAGGUGAGAUUACAGGCGCGCACCACCAAGUCCAGCUAUUUUUUGUGUUUUUAGUAGAGACAGGGUUUCACCAUGUUGGUCAGGCUGGUCUCGAACUCCUGACCUCGUGAUCCACCUACCUUGGCCUCCCAAAGUGCUGGGAUUGCAGGCAUGAGCCACCGCACCUGGCCUUCAAUUUUUUGAUAGAAGUAAGACAUCACAGGUACAAUCAAAGUUUCCUAAUCUUAUAUUUCUUCUCACACUUCCCAGAGGAAAAUGACUAUUCUAAAGUUAGUUACUUCUAUUUCUUAAUUGUAAUACAUUUAUUCAUAUUCUUAAGACAUUUAUGUAAUAUUGUGUUAAGUAUUUUUGAAAUGUAUAUAAAUGGAAUCAUACAAUAAAGACCCUCAGCAGUUUUUUUUCACUGAAUGUUCUGGUUUCAAGAUUUAUCCAUGUGAAUAUGUGUAGGUCUAGUUUAUUCAUUUUAAUUAUUGUGUUAUAUUUUAUUGUAUGACCAUAACAUUUAUUUUUUCUUUUGAUUGUGAAUUUAAUUUUUUUAAUAUUUAAACAGUGCUGCAAUGAACAUUUUUCCUUAUAUCUAUCUGCUUGUUCCUGUGAGCUUCUCAAACCAUGACCUGAAGAUCGCUACCAGUUCAUAACUAAUUAAGUACAGAAAUUGACAAUAUUAAUUUAGAAACUUUAAUAGCAAUCCAACUGAGUACUUUUAUGUCUAUUGAAUCCAAUAAUACAGAAUAUUGAGUUCUGUAUUUUGUAUGUCUGUUUUAAAAUUUUAUUUUUUUGAGAUAGGGUCUCACUCUGUCUCCUAGGCCAGAGUGCAGUGGCGCAAUCACAGCUCACUGUAGCCUCAAAACUCCCAGGCUCAGGUGAUCGAUCCUCUCACCUCAGCUCCUGAGGAGCUAGGACUACAGGCGCACACCACCAUACCUGGCUAAUUUUUUCACUUGUUAUAGAGAUGGGGCUUUGCCAUCUUGCCCAGACUGGUCUCGAACUCCUGGGCUCAAGUGAUCCAUCCACCUCAGCCUUCCAACAUGCUGGGACUACAGGCAUGAGCCACUGUCCCCAGCCAAAAUUUUAUUUAUUCAUUUUCAUUGUAUUUUACAAACAUAUUGAUCCUCAGCAGCAUGGAAAUAUUUUUAGAAAACUUGCCUUUUUAUUACAGAUAGUUUGAGACUUUCUGCAUGGUUUCUACUUGCAAGUUGAAUUUCUGGCUUGAUGAAUAAGUGCAUCUUUAGCUCUAAAACAUAUAAACAAAUUCCACUCCAGAAUGGUCAAACCAAUUUUCAAUCUCUUCUGCAGUGUAUAAGUUUCCUUUUCCAACAGUUGCAUUAUCAGACCUUUAAAUCUUUUCUCAAUAUGAUAGCUAUGAAAUAUUUUAUUUAACUAGCAAUUAUCUGAUAAAUAGUGACGUUGAACAUCUAUUUAUAUGCUAAUUACAUUCCCAGUUACCUGACUUUAACAAGGCAGGUUUUCCAGUUUGCAAGUAUGGGGAAAAUAUGUCUUUAAAAAUCUAGCUAUAGCAGGCAAAGUAUCAUAACAGGUAAAACUGGUUUUUAAGAAGAAAAGCCUAGGAACAGCUAGCUUUGACUUGAUGAAGGACAGGAAAAACCAGUUGUAGCAAUUGAGUACAUGGACAGAUACUUUAGAGUACAUGUCUUUUCCGGUAUUUUGGUUUUGGGACAAUCCCUCCAUCACCAUUAUGACGUUUCAGUGGAGCAAUUUUCACUAAGAAUUUUGUACCUGUUUUCCAGUUUUGAUCAUCGAUGAUUUUCUGGUUCUAAUGAGAUCAAGGACAUGAAGAGGCUGAGUGCCUCCAUGAGCUUCAUUAUUUUCCAUGAUCUGACCUCUCAUUCUCUUAAGCUUUGGAGUUGGAUGAAGGAAGAACUCUGAAAAAAAGGUGGGAGGGUGUAGGUCCAGGCACCCCCUUGUAAUUCACACUGCCUCAGCCUGAGAGUUUGUGUGUGUGUGUGUGUGUGUGUGUGUGUGUGUGUGUGUGUGUGUUGUUGUUGUUGUUGUUUUUGAGAUGGAGUCUGCCUCUGUUGCCAGUCUGGAGUGCAAUGGUGCCAUCUCAGCUCACUGCAACCUCUGCCUCCCGGGUUCAAGCGAUUCUCCUGCCUCAGCCUCCCGAGUAGCUGGGACUACAGGCAAAUGCCACCAUGCCUGGCUAAUUUUUUGUAUUUUUAGUAAGACGGGGUUUCACCGUGUUAACCAGGAUGGUCUCGAUUUCCUGACCUCGUGAUCCGCCCACCUCGG
Molecule: long non-coding RNA, 3386 nt
Filed under: Homo sapiens (human)
Lineage: Eukaryota; Metazoa; Chordata; Mammalia; Primates; Hominidae
Description: PREDICTED lncRNA (TCONS_00231510)
Source: RNAcentral